GGUGCAUGAAAGGAAGUCUUUUAUUCUCUUAGGACUCUUCAUUAGAUGGCUGUUUUAAAUCAAAUAAAAUCUCAACCAAUCCUAAUCAUAUUAGGACCAGGUGAGACCCAAAUAGAUAGAAAACCAAACUUGAUUUGGAGCCCAAUCUAUUUAGAUUAGAUGUCUCCUAAUUAGAGGAGGAAUCCUAAUCCUAUUGGACUCUUUCUUGGUGC
This 212-nucleotide long non-coding RNA is filed under the name Elaeis guineensis (African oil palm). RNAcentral describes it as "long non-coding RNA (EGUI_LNC080754)". Lineage: Eukaryota; Viridiplantae; Streptophyta; Magnoliopsida; Arecales; Arecaceae. The record is from RNAcentral.